Triticum aestivum (bread wheat) is the source of this 439-nucleotide long non-coding RNA. RefSeq lists it as uncharacterized. The transcript has 3 exons. The record is from RefSeq and is a predicted model, not a curated record. NCBI's taxonomy places the organism in Eukaryota, Viridiplantae, Streptophyta, Magnoliopsida, Poales, Poaceae.
CGACGAGCUGGACGAGUUCAACCACCAUGAUUCCCCACAGAACAAGGUCGACCCUCUCGCUCUGUUUUUCUUUUCUUUCCAAGUGAUUGCUCUCAAAUUUUCUUGGAGUGAACCUGAUGCAGAAAACGUGGCCACUUCCUUUCCUCAUACUCGCAUGUUACAGCCAAUGACAGAGUAGCACAGGGCUAAUGUUGUUGUCCGGAAGCAACUCCAGGAACCAGCUUCGAAUAGCUCUUGUAUUCAUCUGGAAUUUGAUAUUUCAGGCACAGGUCUUGUUGCAGGUUCCAAGAAAUCAGAGGCUCCUUUUUCAAAUCGGAUACACAGAGAAAUACAUGGAGAAAUCAGGGGCUCCUUUUUCGGAUCGGUUCCAAGAAAAUGCAGAGUUAUGUAGUAGUUUUUGUUUAGAGGCUCCUUUUUCAGAUCUGUUCCAAGAAAAUGC